Molecule: ribosomal RNA, 507 nt
Filed under: Paraopisthosyllis alternocirra
Lineage: Eukaryota; Metazoa; Annelida; Polychaeta; Phyllodocida; Syllidae
Description: partial 16S ribosomal RNA
Rfam family: Bacterial large subunit ribosomal RNA
Source: RNAcentral
AAAACAUUGCUUUUAGAUUAUAUAUUAAAAGUAAAUCUGCCCAGUGAUAUAGUAAUAACAUAAUAAUUUAACGGCCGCGGUAUCCCUGACCGUGCUAAGGUAGCGCAAUAACGUGCCUCUUAAUUGGGGGAUAGUAUGAAUGACUUAACAAGAAAAUAUCUGUCUCUUAUGUAAAUCACGAAAUUUAGGUUUAGGUGAAAACGCCUAAAUUCUAUACAAAGACAGAAAGACCCUAAAAGCUUAUAUUAUAAUACUAUAUAAGUAAAAAAAUAUUUAAUUGGGGCGAUAUAAAGUUUAAAACACUUGUAAAUAUAUAGAGAAAUAGCUCAAAAUAUUUAUCCCAUAACAUAUAAGUAAGUUACUCUAGGGAUAACAGACUAAUACUUCUUAAGAGCACACAUCAACAGAAGUGCUUAGUACCUCGAUGUUGGCUUAAGGAUCCUAUUUUGUGCAGAAGCAAAACAAGGGGGUUUGUUCAACCUUUAAACCCUUACAUGAUCUGAGUUC